This 468-nucleotide ribosomal RNA is filed under the name uncultured bacterium. RNAcentral's name for it is "partial 16S ribosomal RNA". It matches the Rfam family "Bacterial small subunit ribosomal RNA", at positions 28 to 507 of the family's 1533-position model. The record is from RNAcentral.
GACGAACGCUGGCGGCGUGCUUAACACAUGCAAGUCGAACGGAAAGGCCCUGCUUUUGUGGGGUGCUCGAGUGGCGAACGGGUGAGUAACACGUGAGUAACCUGCCCUUGACUUUGGGAUAACUUAAGGAAACUGGGGCUAAUACCGGAUAGGAGCUCCUGCUGCAUGGUGGGGGUUGGAAAGUUUCGGCGGUUGGGGAUGGACUCGCGGCUUAUCAGCUUGUUGGUGGGGUAGUGGAUUACCAAGGCUUUGACGGGUAGCCGGCCUGAGAGGGUGACCGGCCACAUUGGGACUGAGAUACGGCCCAGACUCCUACGGUAGGCAGCAGUGGGGAAUAUUGCACAAUGGGCGGAAGCCUGAUGCAGCAACGCCGCGUGCGGGAUGACGGCCUUCGGGUUGUAAACCGCUUUCGCCUGUGACGAAGCGUGAGUGACGGUAAUGGGUAAAGAAGCACCGGCUAACUACGUG